This 243-nucleotide ribosomal RNA is filed under the name Lactarius sp. KIINA 112. Its description in RNAcentral is "partial 28S ribosomal RNA". The stretch from base 50 to 243 matches the Rfam family "Eukaryotic large subunit ribosomal RNA", at positions 1 to 192 of the family's 3401-position model. The record is from RNAcentral. Lineage: Eukaryota; Fungi; Basidiomycota; Agaricomycetes; Russulales; Russulaceae.
UUUGGGCGUGUCUCCCUUCUCGGGAGACUCUCUCGACCCCACGAACCCUUGACCUCAAAUCGGGUGAGACUACCCGCUGAACUUAAGCAUAUCAAUAAGCGGAGGAAAAGAAACUAACAAGGAUUCCCCUAGUAACUGCGAGUGAAGCGGGAAAAGCUCAAAUUUAAAAUCUGGUGGUCUUUGGCCAUCCGAGUUGUAAUUUAGAGAAGCGUCUUCCGCGCUGGACCGUGUACAAGUCUCCUG